Molecule: ribosomal RNA, 277 nt
Filed under: uncultured Bacteroides sp.
Lineage: Bacteria; Pseudomonadati; Bacteroidota; Bacteroidia; Bacteroidales; Bacteroidaceae
Description: partial 16S ribosomal RNA
Rfam family: Bacterial small subunit ribosomal RNA
Source: RNAcentral
CAGCAUGGUCUUAGCUUGCUAAGGCCGAUGGCGACCGGCGCACGGGUGAGUAACGCGUAUCCAACCUGCCUUACACUCUUGGACAGCCUUCUGAAAGGGAGAUUAAUACAAGAUGUUAUCAUGAGUAAGCAUUUUCGCAUGAUUAAAGGUUUACCGGUGUAAGAUGGGGAUGCGUUCCAUUAGAUAGUAGGCGGGGUAACGGCCCACCAAACCUUCGAUGGAUAGGGGUUCUGAGAGGAAGGUCCCCACAUUGGGACUGAGAUACGGCCCAGACUCC